RNAcentral lists this ribosomal RNA (468 nucleotides) under uncultured bacterium. Its description in RNAcentral is "partial 16S ribosomal RNA". It matches the Rfam family "Bacterial small subunit ribosomal RNA", at positions 28 to 507 of the family's 1533-position model. The record is from RNAcentral.
GACGAACGCUGGCGGCGUGCUUAACACAUGCAAGUCGAACGGAAAGGCCCUGCUUUUGUGGGGUGCUCGAGUGGCGAACGGGUGAGUAACACGUGAGUAACCUGCCCUUGACUUUGGGAUAACUUCAGGAAACUGGGGCUAAUACCGGAUAGGAGCUCCUGCUGCAUGGUGGGGGUUGGAAAGUUUCGGUGGUUGGGGAUGGACUCGCGGCUUAUCAGCUUGUUGGUGGAGUAGUGGCUUACCAAGGCUUUGACGGGUAGCCGGCCUGAGAGGGUGACCGGCCACAUUGGGACUGAGAUACGGACCAGACUCCUACGGGAGGCAGCAGUGGGGAAUAUUGCACACUGGGCGGAAGCCUGAUGCAGAAACGCCGCGUGCGGGAUGACGGCCUUCGGGUUGUAAACCGCUUUCGCAUGUGACGAAGCGUGAGUGACGGUAAUGGGUAAAGAAGCACCGGCUAACUACGUG